GAUGAACGCUGGCGGCGUGCCUAAUACAUGCAAGUCGAGCGAACGGACGAGAAGCUUGCUUCUCUGAUGUUAGCGGCGGACGGGUGAGUAACACGUGGAUAACCUACCUAUAAGACUGGGAUAACUUCGGGAAACCGGAGCUAAUACCGGAUAAUAUUUUGAACCGCAUGGUUCAAAAGUGAAAGACGGUCUUGCUGUCACUUAUAGAUGGAUCCGCGCUGCAUUAGCUAGUUGGUAAGGUAACGGCUUACCAAGGCAACGAUGCAUAGCCGACCUGAGAGGGUGAUCGGCCACACUGGAACUGAGACACGGUCCAGACUCCUACGGGAGGCAGCAGUAGGGAAUCUUCCGCAAUGGGCGAAAGCCUGACGGAGCAACGCCGCGUGAGUGAUGAAGGUCUUCGGAUCGUAAAACUCUGUUAUUAGGGAAGGACAUUUGUGUAAGUAACUGUGCACAUCUUGACGGUACCUAAUCAGAAAGCCACGGCUAACUACGUG
Molecule: ribosomal RNA, 497 nt
Filed under: uncultured bacterium
Lineage: Bacteria
Description: partial 16S ribosomal RNA
Rfam family: Bacterial small subunit ribosomal RNA
Source: RNAcentral